RNAcentral lists this ribosomal RNA (274 nucleotides) under uncultured bacterium. RNAcentral's name for it is "partial 16S ribosomal RNA". It matches the Rfam family "Bacterial small subunit ribosomal RNA", at positions 523 to 796 of the family's 1533-position model. The record is from RNAcentral.
CUACGGAGGGUGCAAGCGUUACUCGGAAUCACUGGGCGUAAAGCGCGCGCAGGCGGCUAUUUAAGUUGGAUGUGAAAGCCUACGGCUCAACCGUAGAACUGCAUCCAAAACUAUUUAGCUAGAGUGUGGGAGAGGAAGAUGGAAUUAGUUGUGUAGGGGUAAAAUCCGUAGAGAUAACUAGGAAUACCAAAAGCGAAGGCAAUCUUCUGGAACAUUACUGACGCUGAGGCGCGAAAGCGUGGGGAGCAAACAGGAUUAGAAACCCCUGUAGUCC